GGCGAACGCUGGCGGCGUGCUUAACACAUGCCAGUCGAACGGAAAGGCCCUGCUUUUGUGGGGUGCUCGAGUGGCGAACGGGUGAGUAACACGUGAGUAACCUGCCCUUGACUUUGGGAUAACUUCAGGAAACUGGGGCUAAUACCGGAUAGGAGCUCCUGCUGCAUGGUGGGGGUUGGAAAGUUUCGGCGGUUGGGGAUGGACUCGCGGCUUAUCAGCUUGUUGGUGGGGUAGUGGCUUACCAAGGCUUUGACGGGUAGCCGGCCUGAGAGGGUGACCGGCCACAUUGGGACUGAGAUACGGCCCAGACUCCUACGGGAGGCAGCAGUGGGGAAUAUUGCACAAUGGGCGGAAGCCUGAUGCAGCAACGCCGCGUGCGGGAUGACGGCCUUCGGGUUGUAAACCGCCUUCGCCUGUGACGAAGCGUGAGUGACGGUAAUGGGUAAAGAAGCACCGGCUAACUACGUG
This 468-nucleotide ribosomal RNA is filed under the name uncultured bacterium. RNAcentral's name for it is "partial 16S ribosomal RNA". It matches the Rfam family "Bacterial small subunit ribosomal RNA", at positions 28 to 507 of the family's 1533-position model. The record is from RNAcentral.